AAAUGUUAUGUUAGGUGCACUUGCAUUGGACUGUUCAAAGAUCGUAAUGAACAAAUCAACUUCUUCCAUCCCCUAUUUGGCUGAUAAUAGCAAUGAUCAAGGUGAGAUUAUCUAUUCUUUACCUGUGUGCCUGCUUUUUGCAAAUUUUCUUGUUAAGGUCACAUUUUUAGUCAAUGAUACAGAUGUCGUGCUUGUUCAUGUAUUCCCUGGUAAAAGCAAAUGAAUUUCCUUGGUCGAUUAUCACAGCAACAACAUUGGCUCUAGUUAUGAUGAAGUAGAUUUUGCUGACAUUAUGUUCCAUUAUAUAGUAACUCAGUAGCAAGCAGUCAUUUUUUAACUUUCUUACAGUGAAGGACAAAUCUACUAUUGAAACUCAGCACAUUACUUUGUCAAGCUUUCAACCAUUGCACAAAAUAAUACACUUAACUUUGUUUGAUUAUGUACCCUCAUUACAUUAUAGAGAUAUCCUCAUUCCUGGUUUCAAGAGAACUACAUAACUUCUUGUAUGCAUGCCCUUAGAUUCCCAUUUGGUAGCUAAGUCGAAAUCUGCUGCAUUUUUACAUUUUGAUAUCGUGUUUCAAUAGACGUAACCACCCAGCUUACUCUCAUUUCAUUGGAUGCAAAUAAUUUUUACUCUAUUCCACAUCUAUCCGUGUCAAUAUCUCAUUUCAACUCUAUCCUCAAUGGUCUGUUGUCAAAACAUGGCAUUAUGUAUUAUUCAAACCUCUUUACGAUUUCUUAAUAAAAUCAAGUUGCACUUUUUUACAUUGUGCAAUUACGCAGCUAUCACCGGGACAACCUCAUAUUCCUUGCAUAGGCUAUUACAAUUACCUAUCCACUUUCCCAGAGUAAUGUUACCUACUUGUUCUAAUUUCUGAAACUAAAUUUUCAUUUAUCCUUCGAUAUCCUAAAAGUUACAUUUUCCCGUAUUAUCAUUCUAAUUUCUUCUGACAGAGACCUAAUCUUUACAGAGGAAUUUUAAAUAGACCUAUUCAAGUCUUCCCAGAAUUGUAGUUUUGUUGUUGUUUUAUCCUAUUACGAAUUAUUAGCAGAAUAAAGUUAUAACUACAGGAAAAUCAUCUUUCGAACUUGUUAAUAAAACAAAAUUCACAUAAUCAAUAACAGACAGAUUAUAUUUAUAUAAAUGUAACAACAUGUCCAAGGGUGAAAGUCAUGAUUGACAUUAUUACUCUGAAAAAUCUCAACUCAGUUUGAGAAGCCGAAUUAACUGUGAGUAUUGUAUUACAAAAUUAUUUUGUAUAAAACAAGAAACAGAUUCUGGUUUUCAUCAAAAAAAACAGUACCUGAAAUCAAAUUGAAUUCCCCUCAUCAGUGCCAAAAAGCUUCAUCCUUGACAAUGGCGUUCUCAAAUAC
RNAcentral lists this long non-coding RNA (1374 nucleotides) under Olea europaea (common olive). RNAcentral describes it as "long non-coding RNA (OEUR_LNC009149)". The record is from RNAcentral. Lineage: Eukaryota; Viridiplantae; Streptophyta; Magnoliopsida; Lamiales; Oleaceae.